Molecule: ribosomal RNA, 422 nt
Filed under: uncultured bacterium
Lineage: Bacteria
Description: bacterial SSU rRNA
Rfam family: Bacterial small subunit ribosomal RNA
Source: RNAcentral
UGAGGAAUAUUGGGCAAUGCCCGCAAGGGUGACCCAGCAACGCCGCGUGGAGGAUGAAUGUCGUAAGAUUGUAAACUCCUGUUAAAGGGGAAGAAUAGUACCGGUUGGACCGGUAUAUGACUGUACCCUCAGAGAAAGCCCCGGCUAACUACGUGCCAGCAGCCGCGGUAAUACGUAGGGGGCAAGCGUUGUCCGGAUUUACUGGGUGUAAAGGGCGCGCAGGCGGGAUAAAAAGUCAGUGGUGAAAUCCUACAGCUUAACUGUAGAACUGCCUUUGAUACUUUUAUUCUUGAGUUCGGGAGAGAGAGACGGAAUUCCAGGUGUAGUGGUGAAAUACGUAGAUAUCUGGAAGAACACCAGUUGCGAAGGCGGUCUCUUGGUCCGACACUGACGCUGAGGCGCGAAAGCGUGGGGAGCAAACA